Molecule: non-coding RNA, 248 nt
Filed under: Limosilactobacillus frumenti
Lineage: Bacteria; Bacillati; Bacillota; Bacilli; Lactobacillales; Lactobacillaceae
Description: Lactobacillus frumenti T-box sequence
Rfam family: T-box leader
About the family: Uncharged tRNA acts as the effector for transcription antitermination of genes in the T-box leader family. T-boxes are found upstream of many aminoacyl-tRNA synthetase genes and some amino acid biosynthetic genes usually in Gram-positive bacteria.
Source: RNAcentral
AAAAACUAAUUUGAAAGAUGAGUAGAUAUUAAUUUGUUACUCAGAGAGUUCCUAUCUGGUGAAAUGGAAUUAAUGAAUAAUAUUGAAGAUGGUCUUUUGGUAAACAGGUACUGAUGAGUUGUUCAGACGAGUUAGUAAUGGUUGGUGCCCAUUAUCGCAGCAGAGUGUUAUGAUGCACUUACUGAGGCAACUAUUGUGAGAUAGUUGUGAAUAACGGUGGUACCGCGAAAAAAGCCUUUGCCCGUUUG